Molecule: long non-coding RNA, 323 nt
Filed under: Malus domestica (apple)
Lineage: Eukaryota; Viridiplantae; Streptophyta; Magnoliopsida; Rosales; Rosaceae
Description: long non-coding RNA (MDOM_LNC016334)
Source: RNAcentral
UAACCUGCUGCUACGAGGUUUUUGAUUUCUCAAGCUCAACCGUUACUGCUACCAACUUUCUAGAGGCUUUCUCCUCCCUCCUCCUUAAUUCGUUAUUCUUAGCUACCACCAUGGCCAAUGCAUCCCUAGAUGAUUUCCUGGAAGACCUAGCACUUGAAGAGCUUGUAUAUGACACCAUCUCUGGUAUCACCCCAUGAUCGUAACCUCGAACCCUAUUUCUAGUCUCAUAACCCAUCUGCUAUACAUAAAUCUGUGUUUUAACCUCAGAGGUGCCCUCUUCUCCAGACCCUACAAUUGACUGAAUUUGACUCUCCAUAGAUGUC